CGACUCGUCCGUCGUCAACACUUUAACCGUCGCCAACGACAACGGCGCGGCCGAGCCCUGGACGCUCUACGGAAUCUUCCAGAUCAGUCAUCACUUCUGCAGCGGCGAGGACGCGCUGUGUGGAUCCGACUGUGCAGGGCUCACGGACGAUGACAUCACCGACGACAUCCAGUGUGUGGACAAAAUCAAGAACACCUUUCUUAAAAACCCUACUGCAGCCAGUCACGUCUACAAGGAAAUAAUUCCUAAACUCUUCACUCCGAACUGUCAGAGCUCCAUCAUCUCCGACUGCAGAAACUGAGGCCGGAUCUGCAGAGAAAUAAAUCUCCCGUCUUUAAUAUAAAGUGAAAGAUGAUUAAUAUAUGACGAUAGUCGAGUUCAAAGUGUUUAGAGAAAAAACUCCAGUUUCUAUGAUUCCAGCUCAAUGUACGAAAAUAAACAUGUAGAC
Long non-coding RNA from Boleophthalmus pectinirostris (great blue-spotted mudskipper), 448 nucleotides. RefSeq lists it as uncharacterized. The transcript has 4 exons. NCBI's taxonomy places the organism in Eukaryota, Metazoa, Chordata, Actinopteri, Gobiiformes, Gobiidae. The record is from RefSeq and is a predicted model, not a curated record.